Long non-coding RNA from Ctenopharyngodon idella (grass carp), 562 nucleotides. RefSeq lists it as uncharacterized. The record is from RefSeq and is a predicted model, not a curated record. The transcript has 2 exons. NCBI's taxonomy places the organism in Eukaryota, Metazoa, Chordata, Actinopteri, Cypriniformes, Xenocyprididae.
AUCAGGCAUCAGGAUACAGUACAAUAAUCAGGAGGAUUAUGUUGAAGCCUCGCCCCCUAAUCUGAGCAACACUUCAUUGAUGGCUUCUGCUGAUGCGACGUCCCCUAAUCGCACUUAGACUUGAGACUGAGACGUCGCUGUAAUGAUAUUAUCAUUUUGAGACUUUCAUUGAAGAGAAAAUGGAACGAGACCAGACCAAGCUCACAGAGAUGUGUACAAAUAAGCAAAUGAGCAUUUGAAGGCAGCUGUCAAUCAGCAUUCAGGUACUUCAGGUUUUGUUGCUGUUACUGGAAAAAGCAGGUUUUGUCAUGUUGCUAAUGUUCUUUCCAGCAUUUUUAACCUAUUUACCAGCAUGCCUAUCUUGGUCACCCACUCAUGCUGCAGCAUGUAAAUUCAAGUUGAUAAAACACUCAGUGAUACUUUCUGUGAUGUUUGGCAGGAGGAAUGUUACAGUCUUUUUUUUUUUUUAACAGUCUUCAUAUAUUUGUAUCUUUGGUAUACAUUUUUAUCUUUGGUGAAAUGUGCAAAAAUGAAUCACAAUAAACAUGAGUAUUAAAUCAGA